ACCCCGUUUCUCCAGUGGCCACAACAAGCGGGUCUUCAGCUGUGCUCCUGGGACUUGGGGAGCCUGGCUUGUGGGCACCCCCUGCCGGGUGCGCCCUGGAGUCUCCUCAUUAGCACCACGGACAGCUCGCGUGAGCCUGAGCUGGGAGGCGACCAGACGCUCAGCGCCAGCACAGGGAGGAGGGAGCGCAGCAGGGAAGGCGGAGGAGGAAGAGGAGAGGAAAGGAAGGAGGACGCGGAGGACGCGGCUCCCAGGCUGGGGAGGAAAUCUGGAAGCAGUCAGAGCAGCAUUCUGGGGGAGCUGUUCAGUGGCACAGCCUCACUGCUCAGGCAGACCCUAGCAGCUCGCCAGUCGCUCUGGGCGGAGGCUGCUGGCGGAGACCCGACGCCAGAGUUUAAAAUGCAAUGGCCAGAAGACAAGGAAAUGUCACUAGAAAUACAUGGACAUGGACUCCUGGGCUGCUGCUGAUGACUGUGAUCUUUUGGGGUCAGCAAGGGAGUGGGCAAGGCCAAGGUAGGUGGAAGCCUGCUCUAAUACAAUGAAAGCUCAUUAUGAUUUCCCAUUUGUGAUGAAAUUAUGAGUCUUCAGCUUGAUGCUUUCGGAAAUUUGUUAUCAUCUUUCACUGAGAUUUUUGACCAUGUCUACUGUAGUAAUUUUGAAACACUUAAAUUGAACUAGAAUUAGGUGCAAAUUAAUGUAUUGAAUUUGAAGCGGUCGUUCCAAAAUUGGUUUUACUCAGAUGUUAUAGAUACUACGUA
RNAcentral lists this long non-coding RNA (758 nucleotides) under Chinchilla lanigera (long-tailed chinchilla). RNAcentral describes it as "lncRNA (ENSCLAG00000026167.1)". The record is from RNAcentral. Lineage: Eukaryota; Metazoa; Chordata; Mammalia; Rodentia; Chinchillidae.